RNAcentral lists this long non-coding RNA (2124 nucleotides) under Nothobranchius furzeri (turquoise killifish). RNAcentral's name for it is "lncRNA (ENSNFUG00015003419.1)". The record is from RNAcentral. Lineage: Eukaryota; Metazoa; Chordata; Actinopteri; Cyprinodontiformes; Nothobranchiidae.
AUGGUAUGGGUGAGAGCUCGGCACGACGAAGAGGAACGGGAGAAGAAAGAGAGAGAAAGGGGGAACUUGUCGGUCCCUCUCGCCCGUUCCGCCUCCACUCUUUCACUGUCACCUUCUCUCCUUCACAAGAGGUGGAAAAAAGGAGGAAAAAUCAAAAAAUGUGACUCUAAAAAAAGCAGGAAAGUUGUGAGGCAUCUCUCCAUGGGUGCAAAGGAGGACUGGAUAAGCUGGGCUGACUUAGAUUUUAGGAAGGAGCAGGAUGUCCAGGAGGAGGAGGAUGUCCAGGAGGGACACAAAACAAAAGACGAGUUCAGGCUAACAAAAGACAAAAAACCAGAGGAACAUUUAGAUGAACCUAAAGCUAAAAACACACCAACAGAACACAAAGAGAUGACGGUGGUAGUGAAAGAAAGGAUGGAAACACAGGAAGGAAACGCAUCUAUAAAGGAGGAAGAACAACUUAAAGAGGAGUCAGACAGCAGAACAGGACAGAGAGAGGACAGUCCAGCCAACCACCAGACUGAUGAAAGCACUCUCCAACUACCAGAAGCUUCAUCAAACUGUGAGCAGGAAGAAAAACUGGAGGACCAAUCACAAACUCUGGAGGAGCAAAGCCACGUCCAGGACAAUGAGGCGACAGAUGCGAACAGAGGGACAGAAAGUCCUAAGCAUGCAUGUGUGGUGGAAGAUAACAGUGCUGAAGGGGCGGAGCUGCGGGACUCUAGAGAAGAGCCAGACGAGGGCGCAGAACCUGAAAAUACAGCAGGAGCAAGAACGGACACAGUCAAAGAGGUCCCUGAGCCAGGAAGUGAGACACCUUUGGUCCCAGAACAAGAGCCUAAGGAAGAUGUUCAGCAGGACCAGGAACAAGUCAUCACAGAGACUAAAGUGGAAAAAUACCAAAGCGCUGAGUCCUUAUUAGAAACAGAAAACGAAGAGUCCCACACCCAGACAGAGACGGAUGUAGAAAAUGUUGCUGUGCAGGAUGAAAUUACACAAACAGAUCCAGAAUGCACAGAGACAGAAGAAACGUCUUUACCCGAGUGUGUCCAACUAAACAGGGACACUGAUAUCAUCACCGAUACUCCAGCUGGAGCUGAAGAGGCAGCAGCCCCCGAACCGGAGCAGGAAACGGGUGGAGCAGAUGCAUCGGGACCUACAGAGACAUGCAGCGAGUACAGGAGACUUGAUCAGAUGAAUGCAGAUGACACUCAAACAACAGUCCAUACAAAUGAGGAGACUGAUGCGUGUGUCUUACCUGGAGAAAAGGAGGAAACAGCACAGGAGGAGGUGCUGAAGGACAUCCCAGAACUGGGUCAGAGUUCAGAACAAACACCUGAACACUCAGAGAGUCAGGUCCCUACAGUGGUUGGAAGCACAGGACAUGUUGCAGAAGACACACAAGGAGAGGACAUUUUCACCUCCGUGAAGGAGGAACCGGGUACUGACAGCAGCACCAACACCCAGGAGCCCGAGUCUCAGAGGACAAAAGCCGAACACAACCACCAGCAACAAACCUCUGGGCGUCGCAGCAGCCGUUCUUCUGCCGAUUUCUGUGUUCGCAAGUCAUCCAGCUCCAAGUUCACACGAAGACUUUCUGAGGAUUUGUUCAUCAGUCCUGAGAAAUUAGGCCAGCUUGCUCCUAAUCACCCCGUGGAACAGCCCGAAGAGGUGGACACAAGCCAAACCUGUCCAAAAGGGACAGGAGAUGUCCCAACGCAACAGGACUCCUCCAAACGCUUCGGUCUCUUCCGCAAACUCAAAGGAGAUCAGCCCCGGACAGCCAAGGAGAAGAAGAAACCCAAAAUGCAAAUCCCCAAAAUCCUGAUUCAGGACUUCGGUGAUGUGGUCGGGACAGAGAAGCCGGCUGAGGAGGGAGCGGAGGAGAAACUGAGCUCCAGGGAGAGGAGGAGGAGACGGAGGGAGCAGGAGAGAAUAGAGAAGGAGGAGAAGGUAAAGAAGAAGAAAGAGAAGGAGUUGGAGAGGGAGAGGAGGAAGCCCCAAAGCAGAGGGAAAAGUUUUCAGGAGCAGAAGAAGAAAGCUGGUGACGAUGGAGCUCAUCCUGCAAAGAUGGCGCCACAGACUCGUAGAUUUUCUGCUGCUUAUGAUCAAUCUUAUUUUUAA